RNAcentral lists this ribosomal RNA (304 nucleotides) under Mycena galopus. RNAcentral's name for it is "eukaryotic LSU rRNA". It matches the Rfam family "Eukaryotic large subunit ribosomal RNA", at positions 1 to 296 of the family's 3401-position model. Lineage: Eukaryota; Fungi; Basidiomycota; Agaricomycetes; Agaricales; Mycenaceae. The record is from RNAcentral.
UGACCUCAAAUCAGGUAGGACUACCCGCUGAACUUAAGCAUAUCAAUAAGCGGAGGAAAAGAAACUAACAAGGAUUCCCCUAGUAACUGCGAGUGAAGCGGGAAAAGCUCAAAUUUAAAAUCUGGCGGUCCUUGUGGCCGUCCGAGUUGUAAUUUAGAGAAGUGUUAUCCGCGCUGGACCGUAUACAAGUCUCCUGGAAUGGAGCGUCAUAGAGGGUGAGAAUCCCGUCUUUGAUACGGACUGCCAGGGCAUUGUGAUACGCUCUCAAAGAGUCGAGUUGUGUGGGAAUGCAGCUCAAAAUGGG